This 496-nucleotide ribosomal RNA is filed under the name uncultured bacterium. Its description in RNAcentral is "partial 16S ribosomal RNA". It matches the Rfam family "Bacterial small subunit ribosomal RNA", at positions 28 to 506 of the family's 1533-position model. The record is from RNAcentral.
GAUGAACGCUGGCGGCGUGCCUAAUACAUGCAAGUCGAGCGAACGGACGAGAAGCUUGCUUCUCUGAUGUUAGCGGCGGACGGGUGAGUAACACGUGGAUAACCUACCUAUAAGACUGGGAUAACUUCGGGAAACCGUAGCUAAUACCGGAUAAUAUUUUGAACCGCAUGGUUCAAAAGUGAAAGACGGUCUUGCUGUCACUUAUAGAUGGAUCCGCGCUGCAUUAGCUAGUUGGUAAGGUAACGGCUUACCAAGGCAACGAUGCAUAGCCGACCUGAGAGGGUGAUCGGCCACACUGGAACUGAGACACGGUCCAGACUCCUACGGGAGGCAGCAGUAGGGAAUCUUCCGCAAUGGGCGAAAGCCUGACGGAGCAACGCCGCGUGAGUGAUGAAGGUCUUCGGAUCGUAAAACUCUGUUAUUAGGGAAGAACAUACGUGUAAGUAACUGUGCACAUCUUGACGGUACCUAAUCAGAAAGCCACGGCUAACUACGU